RNAcentral lists this ribosomal RNA (703 nucleotides) under uncultured bacterium. Its description in RNAcentral is "bacterial SSU rRNA". It matches the Rfam family "Bacterial small subunit ribosomal RNA", at positions 755 to 1457 of the family's 1533-position model. The record is from RNAcentral.
GAAAGCGUGGGUAGCGANCAGGAUUAGAUACCCUGGUAGUNCACGCCGUAAACGAUGAGUGCUAGGUGUUAGGCCCUUUCCGGGGCUUAGUGCCGGAGCUAACGCAAUAAGCACUCCGCCUGGGGAGUACGACCGCAAGGUUGAAACUCAAAGGAAUUGACGGGGGCCCGCACAAGCGGUGGAGCAUGUGGUUUAAUUCGAAGCAACGCGAAGAACCUUACCAGGUCUUGACAUCCCGAUGCUAUUCUUAGAGAUAGGAAGUUACUUCGGUACAUCGGAGACAGGUGGUGCAUGGUUGUCGUCAGCUCGUGUCGUGAGAUGUUGGGUUAAGUCCCGCAACGAGCGCAACCCUUAUUGUUAGUUGCCAUCAUUAAGUUGGGCACUCUAGCGAGACUGCCGGUAAUAAACCGGAGGAAGGUGGGGAUGACGUCAAAUCAUCAUGCCCCUUAUGACCUGGGCUACACACGUGCUACAAUGGUCGGUACAACGAGUUGCGAGCCGGUGACGGCAAGCUAAUCUCUGAAAGCCGAUCUCAGUUCGGAUUGGAGGCUGCAACUCGCCUCCAUGAAGUCGGAAUCGCUAGUAAUCGCGGAUCAGCACGCCGCGGUGAAUACGUUCCCGGGCCUUGUACACACCGCCCGUCACACCACGAGAGUUUGUAACACCCGAAGUCGGUGAGGUAACCUUUUAGGGGCCAGCCGCC